AACGAACGCUGGCGGCAUGCCUAACACAUGCAAGUCGAACGAGACCUUCGGGUCUAGUGGCGCACGGGUGCGUAACACGUGGGAAUCUGCCCUUUGCUUCGGAAUAACAGAUAGAAAUGACUGCUAAUACCGGAUGAUGUCGAAAGACCAAAGAUUUAUCGGCAAAGGAUGAGCCCGCGUAGGAUUAGGUAGUUGGUGGGGUAAAGGCCUACCAAGCCGACGAUCCUUAGCUGGUCUGAGAGGAUGAUCAGCCACACUGGGACUGAGACACGGCCCAGACUCCUACGGGAGGCAGCAGUGGGGAAUAUUGGACAAUGGGCGAAAGCCUGAUCCAGCAAUGCCGCGUGAGUGAUGAAGGCCUUAGGGUUGUAAAGCUCUUUUACCAGGGAUGAUAAUGACAGUACCUGGAGAAUAAGCUCCGGCUAACUCCGUG
Molecule: ribosomal RNA, 433 nt
Filed under: uncultured bacterium
Lineage: Bacteria
Description: partial 16S ribosomal RNA
Rfam family: Bacterial small subunit ribosomal RNA
Source: RNAcentral